RNAcentral lists this ribosomal RNA (274 nucleotides) under uncultured bacterium. RNAcentral describes it as "partial 16S ribosomal RNA". It matches the Rfam family "Bacterial small subunit ribosomal RNA", at positions 523 to 796 of the family's 1533-position model. The record is from RNAcentral.
AUACAGAGGGUGCGAGCGUUAAUCGGAAUUACUGGGCGUAAAGCGCGCGUAGGCGGCUUAUUAAGUCAGAUGUGAAAUCCCCGGGCUCAACCUGGGAACUGCAUCUGAUACUGGUAAGCUAGAGUUUUGGAGAGGGGAGUAGAAUUUCAGGUGUAGCGGUGAAAUGCAUAGAGAUCUAAAGGAAUACCAGUGGCGAAGGCGACUUCCUGGCCAAAAACUGACGCUGAGGUGCGAAAGCGUGGGUAGCAAACGGGAUUAGAAACCCUAGUAGUCC